RNAcentral lists this ribosomal RNA (476 nucleotides) under uncultured bacterium. RNAcentral describes it as "SSU rRNA". It matches the Rfam family "Bacterial small subunit ribosomal RNA", at positions 26 to 518 of the family's 1533-position model. The record is from RNAcentral.
AGGACGAACGCUGGCGGCGUGCUUAACACAUGCAAGUCGAGCGAGGCUCCUCCUUCGGGAGGAUGCCCUAGCGGCGAACGGGUGAGUAACACGUGGGCAACCUGCCCCUAGCACUGGGAUAACCCCGGGAAACCGGGGCUAAUACCGGAUACGACUUCGGAAGGCAUCUUCUGAAGUGGAAAAGGUUACUGGCUAGGGAUGGGCCCGCGGCCUAUCAGCUUGUUGGUGGGGUAAUGGCCCACCAAGGCGACGACGGGUAGCCGGCCUGAGAGGGCGACCGGCCACACUGGGACUGAGACACGGCCCAGACUCCUACGGGAGGCAGCAGUGGGGAAUAUUGCACAAUGGGCGAAAGCCUGAUGCAGCGACGCCGCGUGAGGGAUGACGGCCUUCGGUUGUAAACCUCUUUCAGCAGGGACGAAGCGAAAGUGACGGUACCUGCAGAGAAGCACGGCCAACUACGCGCCAGCAGCCGC